RNAcentral lists this ribosomal RNA (469 nucleotides) under uncultured bacterium. RNAcentral's name for it is "bacterial SSU rRNA". It matches the Rfam family "Bacterial small subunit ribosomal RNA", at positions 33 to 507 of the family's 1533-position model. The record is from RNAcentral.
GACACGCUGGCGGCGUGCCUAACACAUGCAAGUCGAGCGGAGAUAAGCGGAUGGUAACUGAAGUUUGUCUUAGCGGCGGACGGGUGAGUAACACGUGGGCAACCUGCCUUGGAGUGGGGGAUAACACCGGGAAAUCGGUGCUAAUACCGCAUAACAUACACAUACUGCAUGGUGAGUGUAUCAAAGGAGCAAUCCGCUUUAAGAUGGGCCCGCGGCUGAUUAGCUAGUUGGUAAGGUAACGGCUUACCAAGGCGACGAUCAGUAGCCGACCUGAGAGGGUGACCGGCCACACUGGAACUGAGACACGGUCCAGACUCCUACGGGAGGCAGCAGUGGGGAAUAUUGCGCAAUGGGGGAAACCCUGACGCAGCAACGCCGCGUGGAGGAAGAAGGUCUUCGGAUUGUAAACUCCUGUCUUCUGGGACGAAGUAUGACGGUACCAGAGGAGGAAGCCACGGCUAACUACGUG